AAAGAGGUCUUUUAAUUUCUCUGUGGAUUCCCCACAGUUCCUAGAAGACAGGGUCUCCUGGAACAUGAAUCCUAUUCUUCUGGGUUCCAAAGGAAGGAAUAGACUUGACUUGUGAACUGUGAAUCCAGCUGGCGAGCUCCAUCACACCAAUGGCUGUAAGGGUUGAAAGCAACACGGUUCUACUACCAUUCUACAUCAUACAUCACUUCCAUGAAGAUGUAUCUGAUGGUCACAAGGAUUUUAAAUGAAAGGAUUUUAAGUCAAUGAAUGGCUACUAAGACUGCUGAAAACAGCCCAAUAUAUUACGAUCCUGGCCCUGCCACAUUCCAGAUCACCACAAUCGCAGAAGUUCUAUCGAAUUAAGCUUUCACAGUCACCUCUGGCAAGCAGGGAUCCUGAGUUGAAAGAGUUAAGAAAGAGAAGACAUCAAGUGGUGGUGCCCUUCUUUAACAGCAUCAUCAUAUCACUUCUGAGCUUCUUUUCCCACUAAAUUAUCUUUAUGGAGUGAAAACCGUAUCCCCUGAGAGUGUCGCUCAAGACCACAACACAAUGUCUAAGUGAUGAUAAAUGGUCCCUGGCCAUGGAAGGAAACAGCUUGACUUCUCUUUGGUGACCAAGAGAUUGUCCUGCAUCCCUUACAUCACUAAGAAC
Long non-coding RNA from Mus musculus (house mouse), 651 nucleotides. RefSeq annotates it as predicted gene, 38776. The record is from RefSeq and is a predicted model, not a curated record. Lineage: Eukaryota; Metazoa; Chordata; Mammalia; Rodentia; Muridae. The transcript has 3 exons.